UGAUGACGAGACGCUAAGGCGUUGAAGCAGUGUAUGUCAGACUUCCAAGAUAAGCUCGCAAUGUCAUAAAUAAAAAGUGCCUGUACCAUAACCGACACAGGUGGGUAGGUAGAGUAUACUAAGGGGCGCGAGAUAACUCUCUCUAAGGAACUCGGCAAAAUGACUCCGUAACUUCGGGAGAAGGAGUGCCUUAUUUAUAAGGUUGCAAUAACAAGAUCCAAGCAACUGUUUAUCAAAAACACAGGUCUCCGCUAAGUCGUAAGACGAUGUAUGGGGGCUGACGCCUGCCCAGUGCCAGAAGGUUAAAGAAGUUGGUUAGUGUAUGCGAAGCUGAUGACUGAAGCCCUGGUGAACGGCGGCCGUAACAAUAACGGUCCUAAGGUAGCGAAAUUCCUUGUCGGGUAAGUUCCGACCCGCACGAAAGGCGUAAUGAUUUGGAUACUGUCUCGGAGAGGGGCUCGGUGAAAUAGACUUGUCUGUGAAGAUGCGGACUACCUGCACCAGGACAGAAAGACCCUAUGAAGCUUUACUGUAACUUGAAAUUGGAAUUGGACUUUGCUUGCGCAGUAUAGGUGGGAAGCGUUGAAGAUAUUCUUGCGGGAGUAUUGGAGCUAUCAGUGAGAUACCACUCUUGUAAUGUUAGAUUUCUAACUUUGAACCAUAAUCUGGUCAAAGAACAGUUUCAGGUGGGCAGUUUGACUGGGGCGGUCGCCUCCCAAAUGGUAACGGAGGCGUACAAAGGUUUCCUCUGAACGGAUAGAAAUCGUAUCUAGAGUGUAAAGGCAUAAGGAAGCUUGACUGUGAGACCUACAAGUCGAGCAGGGACGAAAGUCGGUCUUAGUGAUCUGACGGUACUGAGUGGAAAGGCCGUCACUCAACGGAUAAAAGUUACUCUAAGGAUAACAGGCUGAUCUCCCCCAAGAGUUCACAUCGACGGGGAGGUUUGGCACCUCGAUGUCGGCUCAUCGCAUCCUGGGGCGGUAGUACGUCCCAAGGGUUGGGCUGUUCGCCCAUGAAAGCGGUACGCGAGCUGGGUUCAGAACGUCGUGAGACAGUUCGGUCCAUAUCCGGUGUAGGCGCUAGAAUAUUGAGAGGAGCCUUCUUUAGUACGAGAGGACCGAGAAGGACACACCGCUGGUGUACCAGUUAUCGUGCCAACGGUAAACGCUGGGUAGCUAUGUGUGGAGUGGAUAACCGCUGAAAGCAUCUAAGUGGGAAGCCCACCUCAAGAUGAGUAUUCUCAC
Molecule: ribosomal RNA, 1244 nt
Filed under: metagenome
Description: bacterial LSU rRNA
Rfam family: Bacterial large subunit ribosomal RNA
Source: RNAcentral